CUUCAACGAGCCCAGCAGCAACGGCCGUUCACGGUCCUGGCCGUAGGUGGCCAGCAGCGCCUGGGCCUC
Molecule: non-coding RNA, 69 nt
Organism: Streptomyces sp. CB02056
Lineage: Bacteria; Bacillati; Actinomycetota; Actinomycetes; Kitasatosporales; Streptomycetaceae
Rfam family: ASpks TB sRNA
Source: Rfam